CCCACACCCUUUCCAGUCUCGCCCUCACUCCUUGUGUCUCUUCCAGAGGGGACACAACAUUCCAGAAUCCCGCAGGAAAGAUUCUACCAUCUCCACAGCUGCCCUUGCCGCAGUCCUCCCUACAGUUGGAGAAGAUGCCCCCAAUAACUGGGGUGUCUCGAGCUAGUGGACACAUCAUGGAGCUGGGUGAGGCCAGAGGACCUUCCUAGAAAAGGGAAUAUUUCUCUCUCUCUCUUAGUGAUCUGCCUGGGUCAGGAGUUUGGGAUCACUGGCAAGUUGAACAGGUCCUGUGGAUCUUUUCUAGCCUCUGUGUGCCCUAGAGAAGGAGGGCUGGCUCACAUCUCCCUGCGGCCGUAUUCAGAAAUAACUGGGGAAUAGAACACAGUGUAUUGGCUCGUACAGAGUCCACGGUGAGGGGCCGUGGCCAUACCUGCUGCCUUGUUGACCUUGGUUUGCAGAGUGGACUGUGUCAUUAAGAUCCUCCCAUGGCCUCGUCCUGUGCUGGCCAUCGCUAUGCAUCCAGUAAGGGACUUGCGUUUCAGAUCAGAUGAUGCUUUUCACGUAUGUCCAGCAGCAAGAGAAUCCUUCUCCACUGGUGAAAAAUCACGGGCCUCAGAGCAGAUUUUAGUUCAUCUUUCAUUUCAAAGCACUCCUUAGAUAUCUGCAAAUUAAAUCCCCUAAUUUGGUGAGGACGCCCAGCUUCCCAAAUAACAAGGCUUUUCCUUUGAUUCUAACCAAGUGAGCCGGCCCUGCGAAAGCCGGGGUGCGUGUUCUGGCUCCAGGCUUCUGAGCAGCCUUUCUCCCCACGCUGCAGCUUUUCAGUUAGGAAGUCAGAGAGAAGGAAAGAGAACUAUUUCCAAUUCAAUCACAAGCAUGUCUACGCACCACUGAAGACAGACCUUUGUCCUGUUGCUUUCCAAACUUUAAAUGUGAAUUUUUCUUCUUAUGAUGACUGGUGUACUCUGUUAUUCUGGAAAAAAGAAAAAGCCAUAAGCACCCUGAA
Pan troglodytes (chimpanzee) is the source of this 1003-nucleotide long non-coding RNA. RefSeq lists it as uncharacterized. NCBI's taxonomy places the organism in Eukaryota, Metazoa, Chordata, Mammalia, Primates, Hominidae. The transcript is spliced from 2 exons. The record is from RefSeq and is a predicted model, not a curated record.